CCCAGUAACUGCGAGUGAACAGGGAGAAGCCCAGCACCGAAGCCUGUGGCCGUUUGGCUACUAGGCAAUGUGGUGUUUAGGUUGUUCCUUGAGGGCGCUGCCUCAUUCCAAGUCCAGCAAUGAGUACGGUAAUAUUGACUUGGCCCAAAGAGGGUGAAAGGCCCGUGGGAGUGAGGUCGCAGAAAUGCCAGUGCCUUCCUGGAUAAACCUUGGAGUCGGGUUGUUUGUGAAUGCAGCCCAAAGUGGGUGGUAAACUCCAUCCAAGGCUAAAUACUUGCACGAGUCCGAUAGCGAACAAGUACCGUGAGGGAAAGUUGAAAAGUACUCUGAAGAGAGAGUAAACAGUGCGUGAAACCGCUCAGAGGUAAACGGGUGGAGUUGAACUGUGAUCUCUGUGGAUUUAGCUGGUGAGUGUGGUUUGAGCUUGGUCAAAUUGGUUGUAAUCUGGAAUCUGCUUAGCCGCAGGUCCUGGCCUUCGGGUUAGGAUGCGCGAGGCACUCACCAAGUGUUGCGCGUUUCAGUUGUGUCGUGCCAGCUCGCCAGUGCACUUUCGCAGAGUGUUCACCACGACCGGCAUUGCUGUCCGGCUGAUGUGGUUAAACCGGCCUUUCAUUGUCCUCGUGGCUUUGGAUUGUCGGGAUGGCAGGUAGCUCAAUUGACAGGCCUGUGGUUCGCUGCAGGUUCUGGCUCUCGGGUGUUAUCAGCUGACCAUGUUGGUUCUGUGCAGUAUGUCGGAGACGGCGGCUAGUGGUACAUGCGUGCGUUCUAGUUGGUCGGCGUGUCCGGGUUUGGUUAUUAUGUUGCCUGUGUUUACAGGCCUAGUGAUAGCCCGGGUUCGUUCGGCUGGCAGUUGCGUGCGUUGUGCUUCCAGGGCC
Molecule: ribosomal RNA, 875 nt
Filed under: Neometadena paucispina
Lineage: Eukaryota; Metazoa; Platyhelminthes; Trematoda; Opisthorchiida; Cryptogonimidae
Description: LSU rRNA
Rfam family: Eukaryotic large subunit ribosomal RNA
Source: RNAcentral